Molecule: non-coding RNA, 142 nt
Organism: Calypte anna (Anna's hummingbird)
Lineage: Eukaryota; Metazoa; Chordata; Aves; Apodiformes; Trochilidae
Source: Rfam
UGGGAGGCUGAUACACAACAAGAGCUCAAUCUGCUCUGAGUGUCACAUGUUCUCCCUAGAGUAAAAUCUCCCUUUCAUCUCCCUUCUGAUGACCGGGACGAAUUGAGAGGAAUUGUAAGGGACAGAUAGGGGGCACACAACA